Molecule: ribosomal RNA, 253 nt
Filed under: uncultured bacterium
Lineage: Bacteria
Description: partial 16S ribosomal RNA
Rfam family: Bacterial small subunit ribosomal RNA
Source: RNAcentral
UACGAAGGGUGCAAACGUUGCUCGGAAUCAUUGGGCGUAAAGCGCACGUAGGCGGCCUUGCAAGUCGGAUGUGAAAUCCCACGGCUCAACCGUGGACGUGCAUCCGAAACUGCUCGGCUCGAGUAUGGAAGAGGGUCGCGGAAUUCCCGGUGUAGAGGUGAAAUUCGUAGAUAUCGGGAGGAACACCAGUGGCGAAGGCGGCGACCUGGGCCACUACUGACGCUGAGGAACGAAAGCUAGGGGAGCAAACAGG